Long non-coding RNA from Pipra filicauda (Wire-tailed manakin), 343 nucleotides. RefSeq lists it as uncharacterized. The record is from RefSeq and is a predicted model, not a curated record. The transcript is spliced from 3 exons. NCBI's taxonomy places the organism in Eukaryota, Metazoa, Chordata, Aves, Passeriformes, Pipridae.
UCAACGACUUUAUACCUUCAGGAAAGGGAAUUAGGUUUUCAUGACGACAAGAAGGGAAGAUACAUGUUUAAGUGAAGAUUGCUGUUAAAAAAGAAAGGCUUAAUAGACUAAUAAUAAACCCAUUCCAAGCUGGCUGCCAGUGCUGGGAAAAACUCCAAAGGCCUGAGUUGAAGAGGAGAGAUGUCAUGUCCAUACAUGGGGGUAAAAAUAGCAUGAGAGACUGAAUGGAAAUCAUACAUUCAGCCUACAGCCAUUAAAGGGAAACAUGUAGGUGGAACUGAUUCAGAUGCUUUCUUAGGAAGAGGGGGUGGAGAGCCCUGAGAAGCACCUGGUUUAUGGAGAG